GUGGGGUGACUGCGUACCUUUUGUAUAAUGGGUCAGCGACUUAUAUUCUGUAGCAAGGUUAACCGAAUAGGGGAGCCGGAGGGAAACCGAGUCUUAAUUGGGCGUUAAGUUGCAGGGUAUAGACCCGAAACCCGGUGAUCUAGCCAUGGGCAGGUUGAAGGUUGGGUAACACUAACUGGAGGACCGAACCGACUAAUGUUGAAAAAUUAGCGGAUGACCUGUGGCUGGGGGUGAAAGGCCAAUCAAACCGGGAGAUAGCUGGUUCUCCCCGAAAGCUAUUUAGGUAGCGCCUCGUGAAUUCAUCUCCGGGGGUAGAGCACUGUUUCGGCUAGGGGGCCAUCCCGGCUUACCAACCCGAUGCAAACUGCGAAUACCGGAGAAUGUUAUCACGGGAGACACACGGCGGGUGCUAACGUCCGUCGUGAAGAGGGAAACAACCCAGACCGCCAGCUAAGGUCCCAAAGUCAUGGUUAAGUGGGAAACGAUGUGGGAAGGCCCAGACAGCCAGGAUGUUGGCUUAGAAGCAGCCAUCAUUUAAAGAAAGCGUAAUAGCUCACUGGUCGAGUCGGCCUGCGCGGAAGAUGUAACGGGGCUAAACCAUG
RNAcentral lists this ribosomal RNA (602 nucleotides) under Salmonella enterica subsp. enterica serovar Montevideo. Its description in RNAcentral is "partial 23S ribosomal RNA". It matches the Rfam family "Bacterial large subunit ribosomal RNA", at positions 588 to 1191 of the family's 2925-position model. The record is from RNAcentral. Lineage: Bacteria; Pseudomonadati; Pseudomonadota; Gammaproteobacteria; Enterobacterales; Enterobacteriaceae.